RNAcentral lists this ribosomal RNA (424 nucleotides) under Verrucomicrobiota bacterium. RNAcentral describes it as "Verrucomicrobia bacterium partial 16S ribosomal RNA". It matches the Rfam family "Bacterial small subunit ribosomal RNA", at positions 355 to 776 of the family's 1533-position model. The record is from RNAcentral. Lineage: Bacteria; Pseudomonadati; Verrucomicrobiota.
UGAGGAAUAUUGGUCAAUGGGCGAGAGCCUGAACCAGCCAAGUAGCGUGCAGGACGACGGCCCUAUGGGUUGUAAACUGCUUUUAUGUGGGGAUAAAGUGCGUGACGUGUCAUGCGUUGCAGGUACCAUAUGAAUAAGGACCGGCUAAUUCCGUGCCAGCAGCCGCGGUAAUACGGAAGGUUCGGGCGUUAUCCGGAUUUAUUGGGUUUAAAGGGAGCGUAGGCCGUUUGGUAAGCGUGUUGUGAAAUGUAGGAGCUCAACUUCUAGAUUGCAGCGCGAACUGUCAGACUUGAGUGCGCACAACGUAGGCGGAAUUCAUGGUGUAGCGGUGAAAUGCUUAGAUAUCAUGAGGAACUCCGAUUGCGAAGGCAGCUUACGGGAGCGCAACUGACGCUGAAGCUCGAAGGUGCGGGUAUCGAACAGG